This 215-nucleotide ribosomal RNA is filed under the name Glomeromycotina sp. Its description in RNAcentral is "partial small subunit ribosomal RNA". The stretch from base 39 to 215 matches the Rfam family "Eukaryotic small subunit ribosomal RNA", at positions 686 to 864 of the family's 1831-position model. Lineage: Eukaryota; Fungi; Glomeromycota. The record is from RNAcentral.
GGUCAGUAGGUUGGUCGUGCCACCGGUACGUACUGGUCUCACUGAUUCCUCCUUCCUGAAGAACCGUAAUGCCAUUAAUUUGGUGUUGCGGGGAAACAGGACUGUUACCUUGAAAAAAUUAGAGUGUUUAAAGCAAGCUAACGCUUGAAUACAUUAGCAUGGAAUAAUGAAAUAGGACGAUCGAUCCUAUUUUGUUGGUUUCUAGGAUUGACGUA